Molecule: ribosomal RNA, 819 nt
Filed under: uncultured Actinomycetes bacterium
Lineage: Bacteria; Bacillati; Actinomycetota; Actinomycetes
Description: bacterial SSU rRNA
Rfam family: Bacterial small subunit ribosomal RNA
Source: RNAcentral
ACUCCUACGGGAGGCAGCAGUGGGGAAUAUUGCACAAUGGGCGCAAGCCUGAUGCAGCAACGCCGCGUGAGGGACGACGGCCUUCGGGUUGUAAACCUCUUUUAGUAGGGAAGAAGCGAAAGUGACGGUACCUGCAGAAAAAGCACCGGCUAACUACGUGCCAGCAGCCGCGGUAAUACGUAGGGUGCAAGCGUUGUCCGGAAUUAUUGGGCGUAAAGAGCUCGUAGGCGGUUUGUCGCGUCUGCUGUGAAAACCCGAGGCUCAACCUCGGGCCUGCAGUGGGUACGGGCAGACUAGAGUGCGGUAGGGGAGAUUGGAAUUCCUGGUGUAGCGGUGGAAUGCGCAGAUAUCAGGAGGAACACCGAUGGCGAAGGCAGAUCUCUGGGCCGUAACUGACGCUGAGGAGCGAAAGCGUGGGGAGCGAACAGGAUUAGAUACCCUGGUAGUCCACGCCGUAAACGUUGGGAACUAGAUGUGGGGGCCAUUCCACGGCUUCCGUGUCGCAGCUAACGCAUUAAGUUCCCCGCCUGGGGAGUACGGCCGCAAGGCUAAAACUCAAAGGAAUUGACGGGGGCCCGCACAAGCGGCGGAGCAUGCGGAUUAAUUCGAUGCAACGCGAAGAACCUUACCAAGGCUUGACAUAUACCUGAAAAGGCUGGAAACAGUCUCCCCGCAAGGCAGGUAUACAGGUGGUGCAUGGUUGUCGUCAGCUCGUGUCGUGAGAUGUUGGGUUAAGUCCCGCAACGAGCGCAACCCUCGUUCUAUGUUGCCAGCACGUAAUGGUGGGAACUCAUAGGAGACUGCCGGGGUCAACUCGGA